UGGAUGGAAUGUAGUUAUGUGUUAAAUUACAUAUCAUGCUCUAUGAAUUGUUAAAAGUCAAAAUAUGACUAAGUUAAUUGGGUUAUGGAACUCAAUCUAUAUGUGAUUACAUUGUUGUAUGAUGUAACUCGAUAAAUUAGAAAUGUAUAAUGCAUGAAUGAAUGUUUUGUAAGGAAUUAUUGAUGCAUGUAGAAUAUGCAUAGUAAAGAAUAUAUGAUGCAUGCUGAUAUGCAUAUUAAAGGAAAUGUAGUG
Molecule: long non-coding RNA, 252 nt
Filed under: Panax ginseng (ginseng)
Lineage: Eukaryota; Viridiplantae; Streptophyta; Magnoliopsida; Apiales; Araliaceae
Description: long non-coding RNA (PGIN_LNC002200)
Source: RNAcentral